Molecule: long non-coding RNA, 574 nt
Organism: Apus apus (common swift)
Lineage: Eukaryota; Metazoa; Chordata; Aves; Apodiformes; Apodidae
Exons: 3
Source: RefSeq, a predicted model, not a curated record
GUGCCAGAGAAGCACCGGAGCAGAGGCUAGAAGGCACAUCUUGCAACCAACUCCAGCCCUGGAGAAGCUAUGGCAGAGCCCUCCUGUAUUCUGAUAACAAACUUCUGUGGCCUAACAUAUGUCGUCUGCACCCCAGCCCUUGCUAGGAGUGAAUGAUGCUUCUUUGUGCGGCAGGAGGACUCGUAUGUCACCGCCCGGAGAAGCGGAGCGGAGCGAUUGGCUGGCUUGACUUUGCGUUUCCCGAAGUGUACGAGCGAGGACGCGGGGCUAAGUAGUGGAUUGCCGUGUGCUAUAUUUAGAAAGCAGCUGGAAGAGGAAAUGUCCUCAGGAAUCCAGACUGUUUUGUUGUGAAUGUCCCUCCAGUCCCAGCACUGUAAAAGUAAACGCUCGUUCUUCAGGAGUGCCAGCGCUUUGCACUAUCUUGGAGCGCUGGGGAAGGAGGGGUUAGAGGAGCCCCUCUUAAUCCUGCCGUGCUUCCCGGCGCAGGCGUUGGAGCUGUCAGGGCAGGGUUAGAGGUGCCGGGAUGCUGCCCAGCAGCGCGCGUGUGGCUGCCUGACCCCCGCCCGGGGGCGGG